Molecule: non-coding RNA, 625 nt
Organism: Carica papaya (papaya)
Lineage: Eukaryota; Viridiplantae; Streptophyta; Magnoliopsida; Brassicales; Caricaceae
Source: RefSeq, a predicted model, not a curated record
UGAAAUUUUGCAGUUAUGAGGGGGACAACAUUAAUGGUUAUGCUUUUUCUUAACGAGAAAUUGACAAAUCUAGACCCAAAUAGUAUUAUUAGGGUUUAUUGCCAAUCUGUAGCGACUAUCAACCUUCUUAUAGCAUUUGCUAGUGGAAGCUAUGCUGCAACGCAAAGACUUUUGCAGUGAAACCUUCAUUUUGCGGAGAACAUUCAGCAAGGGAACAGCACAGACAAAUUUGUUGAGAUUUGAGUUUCAAAGCUUGAAAAAACCAGUUUCUGACAUGCCUAUUAUUUGGCCUUUGAUUGACCGGCACCAGGGAUUAGCUCGUCAAGAUGAUGACCAACAACAACAUGGAUCUAAAUGAGCUAGUAAAGCUUAUUGAAAUUUUGAAUCCUCGUACCAUCGCGUUGGAGUUUCCAAGACCAAAUCAGUAAUUUGCAGAGGAAGAUGAUGAGAAAAGCAGAUUAAGUUUUCUGCAGCUCCUUAGUAAUUUAUGCGUUGAACUGUUUGUAUCCAGUUUUCUUAGAUAUGGAACAGGAGUUAUUCCGAGUAGUCUGAGAGUUAUGUUGUUGCUGAAAUUGUAUAUAACUGAGCAGUUUUGAUGAAUAAAACAGGAAAUGGAAUUUGUAUA